RNAcentral lists this long non-coding RNA (1203 nucleotides) under Salmo salar (Atlantic salmon). RNAcentral describes it as "lncRNA (ENSSSAG00000103169.1)". The record is from RNAcentral. Lineage: Eukaryota; Metazoa; Chordata; Actinopteri; Salmoniformes; Salmonidae.
UAAUGAUGAUGGUAGUGAUAGCAGUUUAGUGAUGGUGGUGGUGGUAGAUGUAGUAAUGACGAUGGUAGUGAUACCAGUUUAGUGAUGGUGGUGGUGGUGGUAGUAAUGAUGAUGGUAGUUAUAGCAGUUUCGUGAUGGUGGUGGGGUAGAAGUAGUCAUGAUGAUAGUAGUGAUAGCAGUUUAGUGAUGGUGGUGGAAGGAAUAGUGAUGAUGAAAGAAGUGAUAGCAGUUUAUUCAUGGUUGUGGUAAUAGUAAUAGAAUGAUGACGGUAGUGAUAGCAGUUUAGUGAUGGUGGUGGGGGUAGUAGUAGUAGUAAUUUUGAUGGUAGUGAUAGCAGUUUAGUGAUGGUGGUGGUGGUAGUAUAAUGAUGAUGGUAGUGAAAGCAGUUUAGUGAUGGUGGUGGUGGUAGAUGUAGUAAUGAUGAUGUUAGUGAUACCAGUUUAGUGAUGGUGGUUGUGAUAGUAGUAGUAAUGAUCAUGGUAGUGAUAGCAGUUUAGUGAUGGUGGAGGUAGUAGUAGUAAUGAUGAUGGUAGUGAUAGCAGUUUAGUGAUGGUGAUGGUGGUAGUAGUAGUAAUGAUGAUGGUAUUGAUAGCAUUUUAGUGAUGGUGGAAGUGGUAGUAGUAAUGAUGAUGGUAGUGAUAGCAUUUUAGUGUUGGUAUUGGUAGUAGUAGUAAUGAUGAUGGUAGUGAUAGCAGUUUAUUGAUGGUGGUUGUAGUAGUAAUUAUGAUGGUAGUUAUAGCAGUUUAGUGAUGGUGGUGGGGGUAGAAGUCGUAAUGAUGAUAGUAGUGAUAGCAGUUUAGUGAUGGUGGUGGUAGUAGUAGCAAUGAUGAUGGUAGUGAUAGCAGUUUAGUGAUGGUGGUGGUGGUAGCAGAAAUGAUGAUGGUAUUGAUAACAGUUUAGUGAUGGUGGUAGUAGUAGUAAUUAUGAUGGUAGUGAUAACAGUUUAGUGAUGGCAGGAUGGUAGUAGUAGUAAUGAUGGUGGUAGUGAUAGCAGUUUAGUGAUGGUGGUGGUAGUAGUAGUAAUGAUGAAGCAAGUGAUAGCAGUUUAGUGAUGUGGUGGUAGUAGUAGUAAUGAUGAUGGUAGUGAUAGCAGUUUAGUGAUGGUGGUGGUAGUAGUAGUAGUAAUGAUGAUGGUAGUGAUAGUAGUUUAGUGACAGUGGUGGUAGUAGUAGUAAUGAUGAUGGCAGUGAUAGCAGUUUAGUG